GGACGAACGCUGGCGGCAUGCCUAACACAUGCAAGUCGAACGGAUCGAAUUGAAGGAAGUUUCGGAUGGAAUUCAAUUAGGUUAGUGGCGGACGGGUGAGUAACGCGUGGGUAACCUGCCCAUAAGUCUGGGAUAACUCGGGAAACCGGAGCUAAUACCGGAUACAUUCUUUGGUUCGCAUGAAUUGAAGAAGAAAGAUGGCCUCUCAUAGAAGCUAUCGCUAAUGGAUGGACCCGCGUCUGAUUAGCUAGGUUGGUGGGGUAAAGGCUCACCAAGGCGACGAUCAGUAGCCGGCCUGAGAGGGUGAACGGCCACACUGGGACUGAGACACGGCCCAGACUCCUACGGGAGGCAGCAGUGGGGAAUCUUCCGCAAUGGGCGCAAGCCUGACGGAGCAAUGCCGCGUGAGUGAAGAAGGCCUUCGGGUUGUAAAGCUCUGUCCUAAGGGAAGAAUGUAUCUUAUGUGAAUAAUGUAAGGUAAUGACGGUACCUUGGGAGGAAGCCCCGGCUAACUACGUGCCAGCCGCCGC
Molecule: ribosomal RNA, 530 nt
Filed under: uncultured bacterium
Lineage: Bacteria
Description: bacterial SSU rRNA
Rfam family: Bacterial small subunit ribosomal RNA
Source: RNAcentral